GAAUGAGUAAAAAAGUGAUCUCCUUUAGAAAGUUGAACGGAGGAGAAGGAUAAAGUUUUCACCUGGUUAACAGAGGAAGAGGAAGACGACGAAGACAUGACAGAAGGUCGCGCCGAUAAGAACAAGUUGAGAAAACAAGACCGAAGCCAAACUGAUGCUUUCGGAGGGGGAAGUCUAGGCCGGUAUUUAUAAGAGAAAGAGGUGUGGAAAUUUGGUAAGGGUGCGUCCCAUCGGAAGUAAG
RNAcentral lists this long non-coding RNA (241 nucleotides) under Setaria viridis. Its description in RNAcentral is "long non-coding RNA (SVIR_LNC004713)". The record is from RNAcentral. Lineage: Eukaryota; Viridiplantae; Streptophyta; Magnoliopsida; Poales; Poaceae.